RNAcentral lists this long non-coding RNA (722 nucleotides) under Olea europaea subsp. europaea. The record is from RNAcentral. Lineage: Eukaryota; Viridiplantae; Streptophyta; Magnoliopsida; Lamiales; Oleaceae.
CUAUUUUAGUUUACAAUUUACAUCAGAGAGCUUUUUAUGCCAUCUUGAUAAGAACCCGUUAAUAAAUCAGUUAUAAUAAAUUUGAUUUCUCAUUUCUUUUCUUCUUUAUUCAAAUAUAAAGAUGAAUCUAUCUGGAUAAAAAUUAAAUUUUUAAUAGAUUUUAAUAAAAGUUAAUGAAAUAUGUGAUUGACAAGUUAAUAAAAGUUGUCAGUACAUUUGAUUGAAAAUGAGUUUGAGAGGAAAUAAAUUUUUUUAAAAUGAGGAUCAAAUAAGGAUUUGUAGAUAAUGGUAAAACUAAAACGUCCACUGAAGAGCUAAAUAUUAGAAUUUACACAUUUUUCAAGAUUAAAGACUAAUUACUCAUCAUACCGUGUUGUAAACGAUCCGGUCCAACUUGGAUGACAUUUUAUAUUAAUCGGUCCAGAAGAAUGCAAAAGAAUAUGUUAUUAUUCAAAAAUUUAAUCCCAUGUGAAGUUUAAACUAUAUCAUGAGCCUGUUUGGAAGUGAUUUUGAGAAUUGAUUUUUUAAUCGUUAGGAGAAAAGUGUGGUCGACCUUAGAGAGAAGAAAUCAAAUAUGAUGGCUGAAAUAAUGAAAUAACGGUCAAAAAGUCAAUUAAAAAUCGCUCCUAAACAGGCUCAUGGUAUACCUGAUGCUUGACGAGUGAAGUUUUAGAUAUUUGUUUCUCUUUCAUUAUAAUCUUAAAAUCAAGAGAAAGCUUCAG